CGUACCUGGUAGGGGAGUGGGGUAGGGCCAGGACCACUUGUGCUGCUCUCCGGCGAUGGGCACUGAUGGAUCGGGUUCGACUACCGCAUGUGCGG
Molecule: transfer RNA, 95 nt
Filed under: Streptomyces antimycoticus
Lineage: Bacteria; Bacillati; Actinomycetota; Actinomycetes; Kitasatosporales; Streptomycetaceae
Description: tRNA-Thr
Source: RNAcentral